This 185-nucleotide ribosomal RNA is filed under the name uncultured bacterium. RNAcentral's name for it is "partial 16S ribosomal RNA". It matches the Rfam family "Bacterial small subunit ribosomal RNA", at positions 1309 to 1500 of the family's 1533-position model. The record is from RNAcentral.
AACCCGACNCCGUGAAGCUGGAUUCGCUAGUAAUCGCGCAUCAGCCAUGGCGCGGUGAAUACGUUCCCGGGCCUUGUACACACCGCCCGUCAAGCCAUGGGAGCCGGGGGGUGCUUGAAGUGCGUCGCCGCAAGGCGCGCCCUAGAGCAAAACCGGUGACUGGGGCUAAGUCGUAACAAGGUAGC